RNAcentral lists this ribosomal RNA (446 nucleotides) under uncultured bacterium. RNAcentral describes it as "partial 16S ribosomal RNA". It matches the Rfam family "Bacterial small subunit ribosomal RNA", at positions 354 to 796 of the family's 1533-position model. The record is from RNAcentral.
GUGGGGAAUUUUGGACAAUGGGGGGAACCCUGAUCCAGCCAUGCCGCGUGGAGGAAGACUGCCCUCUGGGUUGUAAACUCCUUUUAUAUGGGAAGAACCGUCCUCAUUAAUGAGUGACCUGACGGUACCAUAGGAAUAAGCACCGGCUAACUCCGUGCCAGCAGCCGCGGUAAUACGGAGGGUGCAAGCGUUAUCCGGAUUCACUGGGUUUAAAGGGUGCGUAGGCGGAUAAAUAAGUCAGUGGUGAAAUCAACGGGCUCAACCUGUUAACUGCCAUUGAUACUGUGUAUCUUGAAUAUGAGAGAGGUAGGCGGAAUGUUGCAUGUAGCGGUGAAAUGCUUAGAUAUGCUACGGAACACCGAUUGCGAAGGCAGCUUACUAUUUCGUAAUUGACGCUGAGGCACGAAAGCGUGGGUAGCGAACAGGAUUAGAUACCCUAGUAGUCC